Molecule: long non-coding RNA, 1752 nt
Organism: Chinchilla lanigera (long-tailed chinchilla)
Lineage: Eukaryota; Metazoa; Chordata; Mammalia; Rodentia; Chinchillidae
Exons: 3
Source: RefSeq, a predicted model, not a curated record
AGGAACUCCAGCAGCGCUCGCGUGCCGCCCUUCUUCACUCCCACGAUGAGUGCCUGCGGGAAGCGCCGGCGGCCGGGGCCGCUGGCCAAGCCUAUCCCACUCGGAUGACUCAGGAAGGGGCAUGAGGCCUCCACUGCCCACCUUGGCAUAGGUCCCUUCAUGAAGCCCGGCAGGUUGGUCUCCCCCCGCCCCCAGCGGGCUCGCACCCACGGACGCAAGCAAGCCUCAGCCAGAGACCUGGACGCUGGAGGAGCUGGCUCCAGGCUGGGCGAGAAGCUGCGGUGUAACCCAACAGAAGGAGGAAAUGGUGUGAGGAUAAUUUAUUCCAUAUGAGACUUUAAAGCUGGAAACGCCAUCCCCUCUUCCAGCUGCCUGGCAGAUGAACCUUUCCCACAGCCAUCCAUUUCCCGGCUCCCUGGGCCUCAUGUGGUCUCCCAUACCCUCUGAGGACAUUGCUUACCAGCCCCCACUGGACCUCCCUAUCUAAACACCCCACUCUACACCCUCCCUGGCUCCUUAACAUGGAUGUGUAAAUGAGCAUGGGGCAACUGGGGUACUGGCCACGCUUCCCACUAGGCUCAUCAUCCAGGUUCCAGUGACUCCUACUGCAUUUAGUUCUCCCAAUCCAAGGGCUCUGGGUCCCACUAAAGUAGAGCAACUAUGGAGCUCUUCAAGGAUGCCGGGGGUCCCCUCAUAAACAUUUCUCACGUGCCUCAAAGUGUGUUUUGAGAUAUGUCUUCUGGGCCCUUCCAAGCAGGUUUUGAUGUUUUUGUUUUUGUUUUGUUUUUUUGUUCUCUGAGACAGCAACAGGAUCUCACUAAGUUGCUAAACUGCCCAGGCUGGGCUCAAAUUUGGAAACUUCCUGCUUCCACAUCCCAGAGUGCUGGGACUACAGAGAUGUACCACUAAGCCUGGCUACCAGGCAGGUCAUGGAUGACACAUCUACCCUAACUUUACACUCUCCCUAGGCCUCUGACUCCCACUCACUACACUAAACCGAGGCAGAUCUGACAUUUCAGCUGCAUGUUGUGUAGGCUGCUUGUCAGUCUAUGCUUUAGCCAACCAACAGAACUGUUAAGAGCUCUUUCUAACCCUGGAGCUGAAACACUGAAUCUACAAUCUCUGCUUAGUGGUCCUGUAUCAAUAAAUUCAGCCUCAGCCAAGUUUAUGUUGCUUCCCCCACCAUCCCAUACCAAUAUCCAUUUUCAUGCAUACUAUCCAGACUUCUGUCCAUAUCAAUUGGAAAAAAAUCAUAGUUUUUAUAUAGAGUAUAGCACAUCUCCUCAUGAGUCACUUUGUACCUCACUCUUCAGGGCCUGGAGCAGGCCAAAUUUGCUGAGGUCUCAGGGCCUUUGCAUGUGCUGUGUCCACUGCAUGCAUGGCAAGUUCCUCCUCAAUUUUCUCACCUGUCACUGCUGAGCUGAGAUGACCCCUCCCUCCAUAGAACCCUCCUCUCUGACUACUUGCAGGCCAAGGACCGCCCCCUAGUCACCCUCUUCUACAUGUUCUCGCGCCAUUACCCUGAUAGUUGUUCAACGCCCUUAUCAUCAUCUGAUAUUAACUUACUAUGUCUGUGUCCCCAGGGUGGCCAUGAGACCUUGGAGGACUUACAACUGUAUCCUCAGUACCAAGUCCAGAACUGGGCAGCAAAUAUUUGCAAAGCAAAUGAAAAACACUGCACAAAGUCCUGACAUUCAUGUCCUCACAUCCCUGAUGUUAAUAAAGGUAGUGGACUGGUUCUAGGGGUGCAGC